Non-coding RNA from Paramuricea clavata, 412 nucleotides. The record is from the annotation of a GenBank genome assembly. NCBI's taxonomy places the organism in Eukaryota, Metazoa, Cnidaria, Anthozoa, Malacalcyonacea, Plexauridae.
ACUACACAGCCAGAAAUCUCACAGGCCUGUCGCAAGCUGUUGAUUUUACCGGCUUGCGGCAAGUUGUCAACAAGUCGCGACAGGUCUGUUGGUUUCGUCAGGCGGUAACAGGCUUGCGGGAACAGGUCUGUCGCAAGCUGUUGACAACAGAGCCGUAGCACAGAAUAGGGAGUUAUACCAGAAGCAUAACUCGAGCAAAUAUUUGUCCGCGUUUUUACAAGCGAUUCGUCAUCAAUCACGCCAUCGUGGCUAGUACAACCGGCACUUUGUACCUACCAAAUCCUGAUAAAAACUUCCGGCUGUACUAGCCAGGAUGGCGUGGCCUGACGUGAGCGAGUUAAAAUUUUCGUGGACGUCAAACAAUAAGGGAAACGACUAGAGUUACGCUUCUGGUAUAACUUCCUAUUCUGUG